AAGUUGUAACAAGGUCUCCGUAGGUAAACCUGCGGAGGGAUUAUUACACAAUAACAAGGCGGGCUGGACACCCUCUGCUGGGCACUGCUUUACGGCGUGCGCAGCGGGGCCGGCUCUGCUGAAUUAUUUACCUGUGUCUUUUGCGUACUUCUUGUUUUCUGGGUGGGCUCGCCCGCCCUUAGGACUAACUACAAACCUUUUGCAAUAGCAAUUAGCGUUAGUAACAACGUAAUUAAUUACAA
This 242-nucleotide unclassified non-coding RNA is filed under the name plant metagenome. RNAcentral's name for it is "partial contains small subunit ribosomal RNA and internal transcribed spacer 1". The stretch from base 1 to 46 matches the Rfam family "Eukaryotic small subunit ribosomal RNA", at positions 1786 to 1831 of the family's 1831-position model. The record is from RNAcentral.